GGCUAGGGUCCAAUCGGCAGCUGGAUCCGAAAUCCAAGCUCCCAGUAAAGCGGCGCCGAGGGGCUACUGUGAACAGCUGGGGGCGCUCGCUUCCAGGUUGGGGCUGAGUUUGGGUGAGACCACGGGAAACAGAUUAAGGCAGCAGUAAGGGUGGUGGGCGAGGUAGGAGUUGCAAAGGAUGCAUCCAAAGUUGGAUGGUGCACAGGACGCCGUUUCAAGAGACGCGCCGGAGGCGGAGAGGGGUAAACGUGACGGGACAGGGGGUGCUUACUGUCGAGUAACCGUCCAUGUAGAGUCGGGAGCCCUCAGCCUUGGCUCCUGCUGCUUUGCGGAGGCUGGUCUUUCCGAGUGCUUGGUGUUGCUGUUCCUCCUCACCCAACGUCUUUCUUUUCGCGAGCCUGUGGUCAGAAACUGGAAGAAGGCAUCCUGAUGGGAAAGGGUCAAGAGCAGGAAGUGCGAGGCCCAUCCUGUAGGCCUUAGAUCAAAGGCCUGCCAUCCAGGGUGAGCAUUCUGAAAUAGAGUCCCUGCGGUCAUCAGGGUGAAGCUAGUUUAUCUUUAGGACCUGACCCUGCAAGACUUUACGCUCCCAGGGUAGUUCUGCAAAACUCAACUUUCCUCCUUGUCCGAAUUUGUUUUGUGUUGGGAUGGGUGGAUGUUAUUCCUGGAGCAUCUGUCCCCUUCGUGUGACGUUUGCUCGCCUGCCGUGAAUUCCGUACUCCUUCAGGCUGCAGUGGUCCAGUGUGAGCAGGCUGCUGGCUGCGGGCUGCCCAGGACUCCCGGCGGGAGCGAAAUGUGCAAUGCGCCCCAGCCCAGGCCAGAUCUGGGGCAGGUAUCUUGGCUUCCAGCUCAGGAGUGCUCUGCAGUGACUGCUCCUGCAGCCAGUAAUGACUUUUAACUGCAAGCAUCUUCCUUCCUGAAUCCAGACACCAUUUAAUCUCUGUGUGCUCAUACUCAUUAAAUAAUUUCAAUGGAGAGUAGCAGGAGGAAAUUAAAAGAGAAAAAAAAAAUCCUCAGUUUAAAAAUACCUUUAAAUAUGCAACUUUAUAAAGUUUCUGAAGUAGGUUCAGACAUCAGCAAAGCAGCUCCAAUCCCAACUCUCCAACGGAAGUUUAAUGAACAGAAGCAAGUCCAGGAUUUGUGGCGAUUGUGUUACAUUUAAUAAUUUUUAAAACUCCCACAUUUAAACAUUGGCAAUCAAGCUAAUCCGGUAAACUUAAGCAUAUUCUUAAUAACCACAGGUUGGAGUCCACAAACGAACAGCAUAAUUAAAGCAUGAAGAUACAGCAUGCUCCCAUGAGAACAGGGGACAGCAGAGAGGGCCACAGGGCUGCCAGCCUGCAGAUUCUUCUGUAGCUGUCCGAUUUUUACGGUGUAAUUUUCAAAGCACGGUGACACCUUGAAGGACUUACAUAGCCAGAUCCUCACCAUGAGCAUCUCAAAAGCAUAAUUUCUCAGUAGGAGUCACUGUUCCCCGAAAAUGCCAAUUCAGAUUAAUAGUGUCGGAACAAGCAAGCCAUUGACAAAUUUGUGAUUUGAAAACAAAUUUGAGAAGUGACACCUGUGAACCUUCUAAGCUGGACCAUGAUUUUGUUUGCAUGUAGUCAAGGCAGGAAACUAGUGAUCCCCUGUUAGCUACUGUGAUAGCCUGGCGGACAAAUCUUCAGCAGCUUGUGGCCAUCUGACAUGACAGACGCAAGCAGUUCCUUCUGUUAUUUUUCAUUGCAUCCUGUGCACACCUUGAGGACAACUAUGUAUACUUGCUGAUGUGAUUGGUUGCAUGUGUGUUCCUUCCAAGCUUAAAAAACCCUCCCCAUUGGGCACUGUUUGCUCUCUGUAAGAUCCAGCAUGGGGUCUAGUAACACUUCUCUGGGUUGUUUUUAAAGAGUAUAAAAUUAACUUUAAAGAAUCUGUCUUAAAGUACAGUAGUGGCUUUCAAACGGGCAAACAAGUGCAAAAAAACAAAGCCAUCAAGGAGCCCAAACACAGGUCGUCAAUCAGUGCCACACAAACACAGUAAGAGGACUGGCAAGAAGUGGAAAGGCACUCAAUAAAUAAUUCUGGGAAAACUAAAUUCACAACCAAAAGAAGAAAAUCUGACCCUUGUCUUAAUACCACACAAAGUUGGAUGACAGUGGAUAGAAGACUUAAGAUGAGGCCAGCAGCCCCAAGAAGCAGGCUUCUCGACAUUGGCCAAUGAUAUAUGGCCAGCAAUUUUUUUUCUAGGUAUUAUAUUGAAAGCUUGAGUUUCAAAAGCAAAGACCAAUAAAUGGAAUAACAUCAAAAUGGAAAGCUUCUACACAACAAUAGAAGCAUCAACAGAAGGAAAGGACAACAUAUGAACAGGGGGAAUUAUUUCUAAACCACCAAUAUUGAAUGUGUGUUAUUAUCCAAGUUAUGAAGAGCCUUUAUAAUUUAAUAGCAGAUAAGAGAAUGACACAAUUUUAAAAAUGGGCAAAGGACCCAAGCACACAUUUCUCCAAGGAAAACAGCUCAGAAGGUGGGCUGGAAAAAUACUGCACAGCCAAGAAUGCAUUCUAAUCUUCCAGAGGACCCGAACUGGAUUCCCAGCACCCACGGUGGAAAACAGAAAAUCAGCAUGCAAGUCCAAGCGGAGAUCACAACAGUAGGAAUGAGUCUGGGGACAAACAGCAAUGGAAUGAAGACACCAACAUUGUGCUGACUUGGGCUUGGAGCCUAGCCUAUGAAAAGAGGUGAAAAAACUGAAGCACAGAAAGUUAACCACUAACUCAAGCUCAAACUCCAGGCAUUAGGUUUGUGCUUAAGUUUAGCACUUGGGGGCUUUCGUAGGAAUGAAGGAAAACAUCACCAGCAUUCCGUCCUCAGAACUUCAUUGUCAAAGAUGAAAUGUAUUAUAGUAAAUAUUAAAUUUAUGUUAACAUACUAAAGUAUUAUUUAAAAUAAAAUAAUGUUAAAUUUUUCUAAAAGAGUGAUGGGACCAAGUGUGAUGAUACAUUGAUACAUGAGGAUGAAGUGUGGUGUUGUGCUCACGGAAGCGGACCAUGUCACAAGACAGGAAGAGGGAGAAUCCUACUGAGGGAGGUGUCCAGUCUUUGGGCAGCAAAAUGAAAAGGCCAAGUUGAGACAUCAAUGAGGAAAUUCUUCAUGAGCAAAGCUUCGCUUUCCAACACUCCAGUUAAUGCAGUUAUAGCCAUGCCUGUCCCCGUGUUGUGGAGAACCACAGUAUUGCCACAGUUCUUCCACAGCGGGACAUUCUGCUCUGACACAGCCAUGCCUCCACACACUCAGUCACUGGAUUGCCACUGAAGAGAUCUACAGUGGGCACUCAGUCCCAUGUUCUUGUCUUCUACUGUGUGGUGCUCUGCCGCCAGAAAGCAUUCAGCUCUCAGGACCUUUAGAACUGCCUCAAUUGAUGACCCUCACUUCAAGGUCCUGCAUUUUCCAGGACUGAUCAAUCUGAUGGCCAGACAAUACUGCAGUCUAAAGAGAGCCUACUGCUACAGGGCCACCAGUAUCAGAGCUUCUCCUGGAUCAACUGCUCAAACUCUUUCUUGCCCAAUGUCUCCAUAUGCCAACAGAAACUUUUCCCCCUUCCGUAGUUGUUAAUCUCUGAGUUCAUGAACCAGUGUAUUAACUGUUUUUUGACACUCUGACCUGUUGGGACAACUAAGUAAGGAAACAAUUUAUUUAAGAUCAAUGGUUCCAGAGCAGCAGGUCUGUAGUUACUUGGCUUAUGCAGAACACCACAGUGGCAUGAGUAUGUGACAAGGCAGGUUCUUAACUUUUAGAAGAUGGGAAUAGAAGAAAAUAGGGGUACAGAAAAGAGGCAGGGUAAAAUAUAGCCCCCAAGGACAUGCCCUCAGUGGCAUAUUUUCCCCUCAUAGGCUUAUCUGCUACCUUUUGCCACCCCAAGAAUGCCACUGAACUAUGAAUCCAUCAAGGGACUCAUAUACUCACUCAUUCAGCAAGAGCUCUCGUGAUCUAAAUAUCUCUAGAAACAUCUUUACAGACAGACCUACAGGUGUGUGUUACUUAUCCUGACAUCAAGAUGACAAUCAAAAUUCAAACUGAAGCAACACAUACAUGAAAGCUGGUGGUAACAAGCACCUCUCCUACAGUGCCAUGUAGUACAUAUAUAUUGAUUUGCCUGAGAUUCCGAGUUCCAGUAAUCUUAACAUUGGCAAAUGAAUAUUCUUUCCCAGUUACACAGGCUGGGUAAGCUUGGGCUAUGUAGAAAUGGCAUCAGGCAGGUUCAGGUGUGGAUAAAAUUUUGAUAAAAAGUAUUAAUGGGGUGAGGUAUCCCAGAAGCAGAAAGACACACAUAGUAUAUACUCACUUAUAAGUGGAUAUUAGACAUAUAACAUAGGAUAAACACACUAAAAUCUGUACACCUUAAGAAGCUAAGCAAAAAGGAGGACUCUGGGAAAAGAUGAUCAAUCCUCAAUCAAAAAGGCAAAUGGGAUAGACUUUGGAAGAGAAAGAAAACAGGGAACAGGACAGGAGCCUACCAUAGAGGAUAUCUGAAAGACUCUACCCAGCAGGGUACUGAAGCAGAUGCUGAGACACAUUGCCAAAUGUUGGUCAGAGUGCAGGAAAUCUUAUGAAAGAAGGGGGAGAUAUUAAGACCUGGAGAAGAAAGGAGCUCCACAAGAAGAGCAACAGAACCAAAAAAUCUGGGCACAGCGGUCUUUUAUGAGACUGAUACCUCAUCCAAGGACCAUUCAUGGAGAUAACCUAGAACCCCUGCACAGAUGUAGCCCAUAGCAGUUCAGUGUCCAAGUGGGUUCCAUAGUAAUGGGAGCAGGGGCUGUCUCUGACAUGAACUCAGUGGUUGACUCUUUCAUCAUCUCCCCACUGAGGGAGGAGCAGCCUUACCAGGCCACAGAUGAAGACAAUGCAGCCAGUCCUGAUGAGACCUUAUAGGCUAGGGUCAGAUGGAAGGGGAGGUGGACCUCCCCUAUCCGUGUGGUGGGGGAGGGUCAUGGGAGGAGAAGAGAGAGGGCAGGUGGGAUUGGGAGAGGACAAGGGAGGGGGCUACAGCUGUGAUACAAAGUGAAUAAAUUGUAAUACAUAAA
Long non-coding RNA from Meriones unguiculatus (Mongolian gerbil), 5054 nucleotides. RefSeq lists it as uncharacterized. The record is from RefSeq and is a predicted model, not a curated record. NCBI's taxonomy places the organism in Eukaryota, Metazoa, Chordata, Mammalia, Rodentia, Muridae. The transcript has 3 exons.